This is a long non-coding RNA of Oncorhynchus keta (chum salmon), 4329 nucleotides long. RefSeq lists it as uncharacterized. The record is from RefSeq and is a predicted model, not a curated record. NCBI's taxonomy places the organism in Eukaryota, Metazoa, Chordata, Actinopteri, Salmoniformes, Salmonidae. The transcript has 2 exons.
ACUGGGUUAAAAGAUGUGUGAUAUGUGCCCAACACAAUAUUGCACCUACUGUACAAUGCCUACUCCUGCCCGACAGCAACCCCUGCUGGAUGGACCAUUUACAUCAUUACAGGUAGACUUUAUAGGGCCACCCCCUUCGAAGCAGGGGAAAGACUCAUGUAUUGGUGGUGGUGGACAGAUUCUCCAGAUGGACAGAAUUAUUUGCAACUUCCUCAGCUUCAGCAAACUUUGUAGCACAAACUUUGUUAAGGGAUUAUUCCGGACAUUAGAUUAUGAUCAAGGGACACAUUUCACCUCCAAAGUGCCACCGGCGGUGUGUAAAGCUUUGGGAAUUGCCCAUACUAUAAUUUUCAUUGUCCAUAUAGUCCGCAAGCGGCGGGGAUUACGGAGCGUCAGAAUCGUUCAAUUAAAGAAAAAUUGUUCAAGACGUUGAGCACCGAAGGGAAAGACUGGGUUACGAAUUUACCCGUGGUAUUGAUGUCAAUGAAGGCGUCAACUAACACCCCUACUGGACUCACGCCGCAUGAAGUGGUAACAGGGAAACCGAUGAGAGUACCAGGAGCUGUUAUUCACGUCACAAAUUAGUGAUCUGGCAAUAAUGGGAGAGUCUAUGUUGUCCUAUUAUCAGAAAAUUACCCAUGCAUUGCAGUGUGUAUAUUCCCAGGUGAAAGCAGCACGAGGAGCAGUUGCCAGGAGAUAACUGAGAGCACGGGCUGAAUCCUGGAGACCGAGUGUACAUCAAGAUCACCAGGCAGGGGUGUUGGGACGGCGUUGGUCUGGACAGCACACAAUACUCCUUACAGCACCUGCAGCAGCAAAGACCACAGCCUCUCCUCGUUGGGUUCACACUUCUCAUGUGAAACGAGAUCCAGCUGCAAAUGGGUGAGCUGGAAGCCACCAUGACAGAGGAAGAGGAGCUAAAGAGAGCGAGGGAGACUAGAUUCCACUGUAAACAAGCAGUUGGGUGGGUUCUGGGAGCUACUUUAACAGCCAUAGUCUUUGUUCCACCUGGCCGUGCUGCUGCUCCAGUUUCAACUGUUCUGCCUGCGGCUAUGGAACCCUGACCUGUUCACCGGACGUGCUACCUGUCCCAGACAUGCUGUUUUCAACUCUCUUAGAGACAGCAGGAGCGGUAGAGAUACUCUUAAUGAUCGGCUAUGAAAAGCCAACUGAUAUUUACUCCUGAGGUGCUGACUUGUUGCACCCUCCCACAACGUCUGUGAUUAUUAUUAUUUGACCAUGCUGAUCAUUUAUGAACAUUUGAACAUCUUGGCCAUGUUCUGGCACAGCCAGAAGAGGACUGGCCACCCCUCAUAGCCUGGUUCCUCUCUAGGUUUCUUUCCAGGUUUUGGUCUUUCUAGGGAGUUUUUCCUAGCCACCGUGCUUCUACACCUGCAUUGCUUGCUGUUUGGGGUUUUAGGCGGGGUUUCUGUACAGCACUUUGAUAUAUCAGCUUACGUAAGAAGGGCUAUAUAAAUCAAUUUGAUUUGAUUUAACCAGGUAGGCCAGUUCUCAUUUACAACUACGACCUGGCCAAGAUAAAGCAAAGCAGUGUGACACAAAAAACAACACAGAGUUACACAUGGAAUAAACAAACAGUACAGUCAAUAAGACAAUAGAAAAAGUCUAUAUACAGUGUGUGCAAAUGGCGAAAGGAGGUAAGGUAAUAAAUAGGCCAUAGUAGCGGAGUAAUUACAAUUUUAAAAAUUAACACUGUAGUGAUAGUUGUGCAGAUGAUGAUGUGCAAGUAGAAAAAGAGUAAAAAAAGUUAAUAAAAACAAUAUGGGGAUGAGGUAGGUAGUUGGAUGGGCUAUUUACAGAUGGGCUGUGUACAGUUGCAGCGAUCAGUAAGCUGCUCAGAUAGCUGAUGUUUACAGUUAGUGAGGGAAAUAUAAGUCUCUAACUUCAGAAAUUUUUGCAAUUUGUUCCAGCCAUUGGCAGCAGAGAACUGGAAAGAAAGGCGGCCAAAGUAGGUGUUGGCUUUGGGGAUGACCAGUGAGAUAUAUCUGCUGGAGCGCGUGCUACGGGUGGGUGUUGUUAUGGCGACCAGUGAGCUGAGAAAAGGCAGAGCUUUACCUAGCAAAGACUUAUAGAUGACCUGGAGCCAGUGGGUCUGGCGACGAAUAUGUAGCAAGGGCCAGCCAACGAGGUCACGGUGGUGGGUGAUAUAUGGGGCUUUGGUGACAAAACGGAUGGCACUGUGAUAGACUGCAUCCAGUUUGCUGAGUGGAGUGUUGGUGGCUAUUUUGUAAAUAACAUCGCCGAAGUUGAGUAACGGUAGGAUAGUCAGUUUUACGAGGGUAUGUUUGGCAGCUUGAGUAAAGAAGGCUUUGUUGCGAAAUAGGAAGCCUAUUCUAGAUUUAAUUUUGGAUUGGAGAUGUUUAAUAUGAGUCUGGUAGGAGAGUUUACAGUCUAGCCAGACACCUAAGUAUUUGUAGUUGUCCACAUAUUCUAAGUCAGAACUGUCCAGAGUAGUGAUGCUAGUCGGGCGGGCGGGUAUGAGUUGGGAGACAGGUAGGGAGUAUCUGAAAGGUUCAGUCCUAGAUCUAUCAGUGAACCACGAAGACAAUAGGAGACCAGGAGACAGAUUCCAUGCAAUAGCUAUUUUCACUGAAGUCGCAGUAGGGAAAGGGGGAUACCUAGUCAGUUUUACAACUGAAUGCAUUCAACUGAAAUGUAUCUUCCUCAUUUAACCCAACCCCUCUGAAUCAGAGAGUUGUGGGGGGCUGCCAUAAUCGACAUCCAUGUCUGACAGUAACUGAAGGAGAGGUAGUAGUGGUGAAGGAUGCUAUAGUAACAGCAUGGAACUGGACUACUUGCAAAUGAUGGGUAUUGUGAAGUAUGCAUCAUGGGCAGUGUUAGUAGUAGCAGGGGUUAUCUUGGUAGUGUCAUGCCCUGACCUUAGAGAGCUGUUUUAUUCUCUAUUUGGUUAGGUCAGGGUGUGAUUUGGGGUGGGCAUUCUAUGUUGUCUAUUUCUUUGUUUUGACCGAGUAUGGUUCCCAAUCAGAGGCAGCUGUCUAUCGUUGUCUCUGAUUGGGAAUCAUACUUAGGCAGCCUUUUUCCCACCUGUGUUUGUGGGUAGUUAUUUUCUGUUUAGUCUCUGUUACCUGACAGAACUGUUCACUUUCGUUUUGUUACUUUGUUCAAGUGUUUUUUGAUAAUAAAAAAAUCAUGAACACUUUUCACGCUGCGCUUUGGUCCACUCCUUCCGACGACAGGCGUUACAGGUAGCACUGUUGGGAUAUCAUCUUCUGAGGGCAGUGUUAGUAGUAGCAGGGGUUACCUUGGUAGCACUGUUGGGAUAUCAUCUUCUGAGGGCGUUGAUGUGAAACGUAUAUACAGUGUUGAGUUACCUCAAGAUGAUGUAAAGUUGAUUAAAGCCACCGCACGUGUAUAUUGAGUGGCUAUAGAGGAAGAAGGAGAUGGGGGAACAUAGUGAAAAUGACAUGGCUUGGAAACACCUCUUGGAACCUGUGGCCUGACAGGGGGAAUACUGGGUGAAAGAAUGAGGAGGUUUUUUAGGGCCUUCAUGUUUGUGGAACCCAGCAGAAAAGUAUCCCGAAGACAUAGUCAAGCGAAGAGAGAGUGAGAAUCGUCAUGUUAUCAAACUUUUUUCGUUGCAUAUAUAAUUGUGCAUAACUUAACACAUUAUUAAUACUCGUUAUGUUUUGUAUUUCUUUUUGGUUUUCAAGUUUUGUGCUUUCAAUCUCUCCUCUAUGGAGGAAAUGGAGGAAGUCUAAAGCUCCAGCUGAAAGGUCAUUCAUUAUCAGUUGUCCGACGAGAGAUGGAAAUAAGAGUGUGCAUAGUGUGAUGGUGUAAACCUAAUUAUCAACUGUGAAUUGUUUUAUUCUUUGUUCAUUUAUAAGUAAUUUCAAAGUUAAUGUGAUGUUGAACAAUAUGGAAUUACUAUUCAAAUAGGAGGGAGUGUUGGAUUGUAAUUUGAAAGACUUGCUACACCAGAAGUUAAUGCUUAUCUGUAGGAGGAAUGUAAUAUGGUGGGAUCAAUUAAGGGUGUAUAUGAGCCAUGGGUGUGGAGAGUUACUAAGUAAGGGAAAAGGCAAUCACAUGGUUGCGGUCACUGAUAAGGGUGGAUAGCCAUGGAUUAGUGAGGAAUGUGGGCUGAGGUCAGGUCAGAUCACAUGAAGGGAGAAGGAACAGUUUAUGACCCACUUCACUUAACCUCCUGCCUAGCGACAAAGAUGUAGUGUUUAGCGGUGCGAGGAGGAGACUCCGCCUAAAGGGGGGUAUAAAUACUUGUUCUGGUGGAAACAUGUCUUUGUCUUUUCAGCUGUUUGACCCAUUGGGUUAAUAAACUUGGUUUGAGCUUUU